Non-coding RNA from Pelobates cultripes (western spadefoot toad), 233 nucleotides. Lineage: Eukaryota; Metazoa; Chordata; Amphibia; Anura; Pelobatidae. The record is from the annotation of a GenBank genome assembly.
UGGAGUUAUAUUUACGUUGCUUCACGAAUGCACACCAGGACAACUGGUCUCACCUCCUUCCUUGGGCUGAAUUCGCCAGGAACACUGUGACUCAUUCGUCCACUAGCUUAAGUCCUUUUAUGGUUGCUUAUGGGUUCCAACCCUCUGUCCUUCCCGGCAUGUUCUCCGACAAGGGAAUACCCGCUUUGGACGAGCACCUCACCUCCUUACGGAAGAUGUGGGAUCAGGUCCAU